RNAcentral lists this ribosomal RNA (250 nucleotides) under uncultured bacterium. RNAcentral describes it as "partial 16S ribosomal RNA". It matches the Rfam family "Bacterial small subunit ribosomal RNA", at positions 515 to 764 of the family's 1533-position model. The record is from RNAcentral.
CCGCGGUAAUACGUAGGGUGCGAGCGUUAAUCGGAAUUACUGGGCGUAAAGCGUGCGCAGGCGGUUUUGUAAGACAGAUGUGAAAUCCCCGGGCUCAACCUGGGACCUGCAUUUGUGACUGCAAGGCUAGAGUACGGUAGAGGGGGAUGGAAUUCCGCGUGUAGCAGUGAAAUGCGUAGAUAUGCGGAGGAACACCGAUGGCGAAGGCAAUCCCCUGGACCUGUACUGACGCUCAUGCACGAAAGCGUGG